This 6764-nucleotide long non-coding RNA is filed under the name Salvia miltiorrhiza (redroot sage). Its description in RNAcentral is "long non-coding RNA (SMIL_LNC006427)". The record is from RNAcentral. Lineage: Eukaryota; Viridiplantae; Streptophyta; Magnoliopsida; Lamiales; Lamiaceae.
GCGGUGAAGCUCUCUCCCGCCGCCUCAGAGAUCGCCGGAAACGGCAGAGUCUCAAUGAGAAAGAGCGUCAAAAAGCCUGCAGUCUCCUCCGGCAGCCCAUGGUACGGCCCCGACCGUGUUAAGUACUUAGGCCCAUUCUCCGGCGAGGCCCCAAGCUACCUCACCGGAGAAUUCCCCGGCGACUACGGCUGGGACACCGCCGGACUUUCUGCUGACCCCGAGACCUUCGCCAAGAACCGUGAGCUCGAGGUGAUCCAUUGCCGGUGGGCCAUGCUGGGUGCCCUCGGCUGCGUCUUCCCGGAGCUCUUGGCCCGCAACGGCGUCAAGUUCGGAGAGGCCAUCUGGUUCAAGGCCGGCUCUCAAAUCUUCAGCGAGGGUGAGACUCUAUUCGAGCACAUAACAUUUCUAUUAAUUUUAGUUAUACUAAAUGAGCAUUUUAUUAUAAAUAUUUAUAUAUAAACAUUUGAAUAAUGUGUAGGUGGACUUGAUUAUUUGGGCAACCCGAAUUUGGUUCAUGCACAGAGCAUCUUGGCCAUCUGGGCUAGCCAAGUGCUCCUAAUGGGAGCCGUUGAGGGCUACAGAAUUGCCGGUGGGCCCCUCGGGGAAGUCGUGGAUCCGUUGUACCCGGGCGGUAGCUUCGACCCAUUGGGGCUUGCCGAUGACCCGGAAGCAUUUGCCGAGCUAAAGGUGAAGGAGAUCAAGAAUGGUAGACUUGCUAUGUUUUCAAUGUUCGGAUUCUUUGUUCAGGCCAUCGUCACCGGAAAAGGGCCGUUGGAGAACCUUGCCGACCACCUCGCCGACCCCGUUAACAACAAUGCUUGGUCAUACGCCACCAACUUUGUCCCCGGAAAGUGAUCCAAUUGUUGCACCACCAAAUUCUCAUUAAUCAUGUAUUGUUUGAUGCUGAUAUCCAUGAUUUUAAUGAAAUAGAAUGUUAAUUUUUCUUGCCCUCGGAGAAGUGGAUUCAUUUUUCAUAUUUUAUUAAUUGUUGAUUUUAGCUAUUUGCCCCAUCUUUAUAUUAUGCAGUCGCGCACUCCAUCAAUUAAGUUAGGGUUAAGUAUCAAAUAAGCUCCUAUCAUAGUGGCCCUUAUCACGUUUAGCUCCCUAUAGUCGAAGUUGGGCCAACUAAACCCUCAUACUACCUAAAAUCAAAAAUGGGCCCUCUGCCCUAACGGAAGUUAACGCCGUUGUUUAAAAAAAAAUCUUUAAGUUUAAUCCUCUCUCCCUACCGACCCUAACUAGCAGCUUCAGCACCCAAAACAGCCCCUGCACGAGAAUGCACAAUCCGGCGAACGCCGACCCUCUCCUCCAGCGUGGGUCGCCGCCUUGGGCCGGAGUUCCUCUAUCCCAUCUCAGUCUUUCGCGGAGCACCCAAUCGAGCCCUAAUUUCUCUCUCCCUUAUUCCCUUUCUCAAUUUCAAAUUUCAGGGAACAUGCAUUUUAAACCGAGCCCCAGCCCCAUUUUUGGAAUCGUCGCCGCCGCCGCUGAGCUUUGGGUCUCGGUUGUCGCCGUGCUUAUGACUCAGCGGCGAGACACCGUCCAACCUUUUUGAUUCGACAGAGGAAUCAUCUUGCAUCUGCUAGGGGCUUGGUCGUCAAAGGACAGAGGGAGCGGCGACAGCGGCUAGGGUUUUUCAGGUGUGACCUAGGCUAUUGGGCGAACGGUGGUCGGAGGCCAUGCCUUUCGCCGAUUAUUCGAGGGAGGAGAAGUAGGGGUUGGUCUGAUUUGGGUUUUGUUCGAGAGAUCUGACCAAGUGUGGCGAUGGCUUCGCCGCCACCACGGAAGGGGACAGCGCUGCGUGGGGUAGCGGCACAACCUAGAGCUAAGAAAUGAGGCGAUUUGGGAGAUAUGGCUUUGCAGAGGGCGGCGCCGCUGCUUGAGACGCGGUUGGCUGUAGAAGUGGGAGUUCUACUUCAUCCCCACGCAUUAUUGAAGGUUGCUGGCGAGUUUCCGGCGAAAAAUUAAAUGUGUUAAAGCCCACGGUGUGUUUUCGGCGAAGAAUUAACUAUGUUAAAAAAAAUAGUUAACGGCCGUUAAGUCGCCAUUAGGGCAGAGGGUCUGAUUGUUCGAUUUUAAGUAGUAUGAGGGUUUAGUUGGCCCAACUUCGACUAUAGGGAGCUAAACGUGAUAAGGGCCACUAUGACAGUGACUUAUUUGAUACUUAACCCAUUAAGUUAUAACCCAAAAGUAGUAAUUUAUGUCUCGUCAUAUUUUCUCUAAUUCAAGAGCCGCGUAUUAAUAUAUUUCUUUUGUUUGAGGAAAAGUUGAGAGCCACAUAUUAUUAAUAGCAUGCGCUCAUUUAAAAAUUUGAAUUCUUUUUGGAGAUUCAUAUUAUUUUCUCUGUAACAAUGUGUAUUUGAUAUGUGUGGAAGGGGUCUCAAUAAUAAUGAUGAUGAUGAUGAUGAUUAUUAUUAUUGAAAAAAUGAUGAUAAUGAUUAAUGGAUCAAUUAAAAUUAAAAAAGUGGAUUCAUUAGUGGCAGUGUGUAUAAAUAUAUGGAAAUGGUAUGAAUAAUACUUAGUGAAAUUAUUUCCAAAAAUAUAUUAGAAAGAUGUUUUGGGGACGAACGAAAAAUGAAAUAAAAGAAGAUGCUUUAGGGACAGAGGAGGUAUAGUAUGAGUUUGUAAUUGUUGAAUUUCGACGUAUACAUCAAUUUACGUAAUAAUUUAUAAGUAGAAAUCAUAGAAAUAAUUUUAUAUUAAGGUGGGUUUUACCAUCUAAAACUUUAGGACGGUAAAUUAGGUUGAUUUGGAAAUUAAGACAAAAACUUUUGAACUUGUAAAAAUAGGACAUUAAUUUUUUUUUAGAGUAAAAUAGGACACUAAUUAAUAAGUGUUACACCCGCAGGACAUUUCUCGGCCGAGAAAUGUCCUAUUUUUACGAGACUUAUUAAUGAGUGUCCUAUUUUACUCUAAAAAAAAUUAGUGUCCUAUUUUUACAAGUCCGAAAGUUUUUAUCCUAAUUUCCAAAUCAACAUAAGUUACCGUCCUAAAAAAUCCCCUGACUCAGAUAUGGCAUAAUAGAUUUAUUAGAGUAUUAAUUACUGUGAAUUAGUACUAAACUCAAAUAAUAAAUUAAUAAAUUAUAAUUAAAAUUUUAAUUUUUACUAUUAUUUAAAUUGUUAGAAUUUCAUUUAUUAGAGAGCUGAUCAUUAAUGAUUGAAUAUGAUUUCAAAUUUGAAUGAUGUCGUUUAAAGUUUGAGACGAGGUGAUGCUCAUAACUCAAUUUUGGUCUUUCAAGUUUUAGAGAUGAUGCUCAUAAGUAAGAGGCGAAAUUAUUAGGACUCAAUUAUGAUCUUUUAAACUCCAGACGAGAUGAUGCUCACAAGUCAAUUGUGGUCUUUCAAACUUCAGACAAGAUGAUGCUCAAAACUCAGUUAUGGUAUUUCAAGUUUCAGACAAGAUGAUGCUCAAAACUCAGUUAUAUUUUUCAAGUCCGACAAGAGAUGUUGUUCGGAAGUCAGAGAUGACAUGUUUAUUCUCAUAACUUAAUUAUAGUUUUGCAAAUUCUAAACAUAAAAUAGUACCCAUAAGUAGGGCUGGUAAUUCGGUUCCGGUUAUCCGGUUAAAACCGAAACCGAACUCGAAAAACCGGUUAUCGGUUAACCGAUAAUCGAUUUUUCCGGUUCCGGUUCGGUUAUCGGUUAGUUAUAUUGGGGUUAACCGGUUAAUCGGUUUAACCGGUCGGUUAACCGGUUAAACCGAUUUAAUUUAUAGAUGAUUUAAUUUAUAGCAGUACUCCAAUGUUUUAAACUAGGGCUGGCCGGAUCUCAAUUCUCAAACAGCUUUCACGCGGCGCCUCCUUCUCCAGGCCCUCCACGCCCUUCAGCCACUUCCCAUCUGCCUCUGCACCCUCCGGCGACCGGAGCCUCAUCCCACCGCGCCCAUCUCCCUCUGCACCCUCCAGCGCCGCCGCGCCCUCCUCUGCCUUGGGCCCCUUCGGCCCUUCCCGUCUGCCCUCUGCACCGUCCAGCGCCGCCGCGCCCUCCUUUGCCUGCGGCCCCUUGGCCCUUCCCGUCUGCCACUGAACCCUCCGGCGAACGGAGCAUCGUCCAACCGCGCCCAUCUCCCUCUGCACCCACCAGCGCCGCUGGGCCCUCCCUCUCCGACCUGUAUUCCCCUUCAGCGCCGCCCCCAACUCCCUCUGCAGUCUGCACAGCAGCACAGUCGCCACCCUCGUGGGCCCCCUCCCGCUCCGACCUCCCUUUUCUCAGGUUCGUAAAAAGUUUCCAUCUUUGGUUAGAUGUCGUAAAGAUGGUUUCUUUGCUCUGCAAAUAGCUCAAAUGUCGUAAAGAUUCGAUCUUUUUUAUUGUUCAUUGGAUUCAGUUUGUGUUGGUAUGGAUUUGUGUUGUGAAUUUGUGAUGAAUUCAGUUUGUGACUUUGUGUUGUAAAUAGCUCAGUUUUUUUGUUGUUAUUCAGUUUGUGACUUUGUGUUGUGAUGAAUUCAGUUUAAUUCUGCCAAAUUGAGAAAGCACGUAUUAAUCGGUUUUGAUCGGUUAACCGAUCAUAAAAUAGGUUCGGUUAUCUGUUAGAGCAAUUGCUCUUAACCGGUUCCAGUUAAUCGGUAAACCGGUUCAGUUAAAACCGAACCGACCGGUUUACCAGCCCUACCCAUAAGUAAGUUAUAAUCUUCAAACUUUAGACAAGAUGAUGCUCAAAAAUCAGAUGUGGUAUUUCAAAUUCCACAUGAUAUGAUUUUCAAAAUUCGGACGUUCAAAUGUCAUAUGUGGUUUUUAGAGCUCUAGAUGAUUAUCUAGUCUUAUUAUGUCCACAUAUGAGAUGAUACUCAGAUGACAUAUGUUGUAUUAAUUAAAUUAUUUCUUAUUUAUCAAUUUAAAGAAUUUGUACAAAUUUAAUAAAUAUUAUCUAUAUACGAUUAACAACAAAUACAACACAUCAAUCAUACAUCAUAUCAUACUUCAAAUUUACAUAUUUUUUGUGUUCUAAAAUCUUCAAUCUCACAUCAACUUUUUAUAAACUUCAUCAAAUGAAUAUUUAUAUAAAAAUGUAUUUCUAUUAUCACAACCUACAUUUAAUUGGCGAAAGUGAUUAAGAUUAAUAUUAUUUCAAAUAUUAUAUUACUAAUUUAAUUUGAUCAUAUCAAAUUAAUUAAAGAAAUAAUUUAUAAAUGAUGAUAUAAAAUAAUUCCCGUCGAAUUUCGACGGGUUGGACGCUAGUUCUAUUAAAUAAUGAAAUUAGAAAAAUUAUAUUUUUUAUGAUAAAAAUACUUAUGAUGCAUCUUAUUAAUUAUGUAAAAUAGAGGCCUCUCGAGGCAAUGUACAAAAUCUAUACUAUAUUAAAACAACAGUUUUCAAUUAGAAAUUGAUUUCAAAUCAAUUUGAAAUUGAUUUGAAUGGCAAUUUUGAUNGAGUGUGUAAAGUGGGUGGGGAUCAUUUGUUUAAUGUGUGUAGAGAAGGUAGGGACCACAUACUAUUUUUGAAAAGUGCCAAUUGAAGUGGGACAAACAAAAAAAGGCAAGUGUGCCAAUUGAAGUGGGACGGAGGGAGUAUCAUACUUCAAAAUUACAUAUUUUUUUGUGUUCUAAAAUCUUCAAUCCCACAUCAACUUUUUUUAAACUUCAUCAAAUGAAUAUUUAUAUAAAAAGGUAUUUCUAUUAUUACAAUCUAUAAUUAAAAUUUAAUUGGUGAAAGUGAUUGAGAUUAAUAUUAUUUCAAAUAUUGUACUACUAAUUUAAUUUGACCAUAUUUAAAUUAAUUAUAAAAAUAAUUUAUAUAUAAAUAAUUCAUACGCUAUAAUAAUAAAAAUAAUUAUAAAUAACGACAUAAAAUAAUUACCAUCGAAUUUUGACGAUUAAAUGCUAGUUGUUUGUGUGAUAGUACUUUUUUGUUUUUGUAUUUGAGAAUGGAUAAAGUUACAAUUAAGCCUAUUAUAAUUCUCAAAUACAUCAUAUACAUAAAAUACUCCAUAUCAUACAUACGUAAAUUAAUUUCCCUCAAAAAAAAGAAACAACUCGUACAUUAAUUAAUACUCCUCUCCUUGUAUGGAACCCUUGCCAUUUUGGACUGUCCCAAUUAUAUUGGCUCAUUUCUUAAAAUAGCAAAAAUAAUGGCUCUUAAGUGGCAAAAGUAAAGUACUCUACCUACUUAACUCAUAAAUAAAUAUUCUCUUAAUGUUUGUGCCAAAAAGUAAAAGGUCAAUACAAAUGAGAGGGAGGGAGUACUAUCGUAACAACAUCAAGAUCUUAACUGACGGAUAGAAUUCCUGGUGGAAUUUGGGACCCUCUUUGUCAAAAUUUUAAAAUAGAUGGCUAAGAGAUUGCCAACUCAACAUGAAAUCUUGAAACCCAAUCACACAAUACAGGUAUAUUCUGAUAUCCAUAUCAUCAACCUACAUUACUACUCUAUAUACAACCACCAAAUAACUUACACCUCUUCAUCUCUCAAUCCCAAAUUUCUUUGCAAAACCCAAAACUUCAACCUUUCAUUUCUUACUAAUACAAUGGCAGCCUCUUCAAUGGCUCUUUCUUCCCCCUCUUUUGCUGGACAGGCGGUGAAGCUCUCUCCCGCCGCCUCAGAGACCGCCGGAAACGGCAGAGUCUCAAUGAGGAAGAGCACCAAAAAGCCUGCAGUCUCCUCCGGCAGCCCAUGGUACGGCCCCGACCGCGUUAAGUACUUAGGCCCAUUCUCCGGCGAGGCCCCAAGCUACCUCACCGGAGAAUUCCCCGGCGACUACGGCUGGGACACCGCCGGACUUUCUGCUGACCCCGAGACCUUCGCCAAGAACCGUGAGCUCGAGGUGAUCCACUN